Molecule: unclassified non-coding RNA, 299 nt
Organism: Callithrix jacchus (white-tufted-ear marmoset)
Lineage: Eukaryota; Metazoa; Chordata; Mammalia; Primates; Cebidae
Rfam family: Metazoan signal recognition particle RNA
About the family: The signal recognition particle (SRP) is a universally conserved ribonucleoprotein.
Source: Ensembl
GCUGGUCACAGUGGAGCAUGCCUGUAGUCCCAGCUACUCAGGAGGCUGAGGUGGGAGGAUCGCUUGAGCCCAGGAGUUCUGGGCUGUAGUGCACUAUGCCGAUCGGUGUCCGCACUAAGUUCAGCAUCAAUAUGGUGACCUACCAGGAGUCGGGGACCACCAGGUUGCCUAAGGAGGGGUGAACCGGCCCAGGUCGGAAACGGAGCAGGUCAAAACUCCCGUGCUGAUCAGUAGUGAGAUCUUGCCUGUGAAUAGCCACUGCACUCCAGCCUGGGCAAUAUAGCAAGAGCCCAUCUCUA